Molecule: ribosomal RNA, 254 nt
Filed under: uncultured bacterium
Lineage: Bacteria
Description: partial 16S ribosomal RNA
Rfam family: Bacterial small subunit ribosomal RNA
Source: RNAcentral
CACGUAGGGGGCAAGCGUUGUCCGGAUUUAUUGGGCGUAAAGAGCUCGUAGGCGGUUCGAUAAGUCGGGUGUGAAACCUCCAGGCUCAACCUGGAGACGCCACCCGAUACUGUUGUGACUAGAGUCCAGUAGGGGAGCGUGGAAUUCCUGGUGUAGCGGUGAAAUGCGCAGAUAUCAGGAGGAACACCGGUGGCGAAGGCGGUGCUCUGGGCCAGUACUGACGCUGAGGAGCGAAAGCGUGGGGAGCGAACAGG